UACGGAGGGAGCGAGCGUUGUUCGGAAUUACUGGGCGUAAAGCGUGCGCAGGCGGAUUUUCAAGUCAGAAGUGAAAUCCCAGGGCUUAACCCUGGAAUUGCUUUUGAAACUGGAUAUCUUGAAUCCAGGAGAGGUGAGUGGAAUUCCGAGUGUAGAGGUGAAAUUCGUAGAUAUUCGGAAGAACACCAGUGGCGAAGGCGACUCGCUGGACAAGUAUUGACGCUGAGGUGCGAAAGCGUGGGGAGCAAACAGG
This 253-nucleotide ribosomal RNA is filed under the name uncultured bacterium. Its description in RNAcentral is "partial 16S ribosomal RNA". It matches the Rfam family "Bacterial small subunit ribosomal RNA", at positions 524 to 776 of the family's 1533-position model. The record is from RNAcentral.